GCUGGGCGCAGUGGUGUGCGCCUGUAGUCCCAGCUACUCUGGAGGCUGAGGCAGGAGAAUCACUUGAACCCGGGAGGCAGAGCUUGCAGUGAGUGAGCCAAGAUCGCACCGCUGCACUCCAGCCUGGUGACAGAGCAAGACUCUGUCUCAAAAAAAAAAAAGAGAUAGGGUCUCACCCUCUUGCCCAGAGUGGAGUACAGUGGUGUGAUCAUGGCUCACUGCAGCCUUAAACUCCUGGGCUCAAGGGCUUCUCCUGCCUCAU
Unclassified non-coding RNA from Gorilla gorilla gorilla (western lowland gorilla), 262 nucleotides. It matches the Rfam family "Metazoan signal recognition particle RNA". From Rfam's summary of the family: The signal recognition particle (SRP) is a universally conserved ribonucleoprotein. It is involved in the co-translational targeting of proteins to membranes. The eukaryotic SRP consists of a 300-nucleotide 7S RNA and six proteins: SRPs 72, 68, 54, 19, 14, and 9. The record is from Ensembl. NCBI's taxonomy places the organism in Eukaryota, Metazoa, Chordata, Mammalia, Primates, Hominidae.